Molecule: ribosomal RNA, 404 nt
Filed under: Actinomycetes bacterium
Lineage: Bacteria; Bacillati; Actinomycetota; Actinomycetes
Description: Actinobacteria bacterium partial 16S ribosomal RNA
Rfam family: Bacterial small subunit ribosomal RNA
Source: RNAcentral
UGGGGAAUAUUGGACAAUGGGCGCAAGCCUGAUCCAGCCAUGCCGCGUGAGUGAUGAAGGCCCUAGGGUUGUAAAGCUCAUUCACCGGUGAAGAUAAUGACGGUAACCGGAGAAGAAGCCCCGGCUAACUUCGUGCCAGCAGCCGCGGUAAUACGAAGGGGGCUAGCGUUGUUCGGAUUUACUGGGCGUAAAGCGCACGUAGGCGGACUUUUAAGUCAGGGGUGAAAUCCCGGGGCUCAACCCCGGAACUGCCUUUGAUACUGGAAGUCUUGAGUAUGGUAGAGGUGAGUGGAAUUCCGAGUGUAGAGGUGAAAUUCGUAGAUAUUCGGAGGAACACCAGUGGCGAAGGCGGCUCACUGGACCAUUACUGACGCUGAGGUGCGAAAGCGUGGGGAGCAAACAGG